RNAcentral lists this ribosomal RNA (258 nucleotides) under uncultured bacterium. RNAcentral describes it as "partial small subunit ribosomal RNA". It matches the Rfam family "Bacterial small subunit ribosomal RNA", at positions 26 to 285 of the family's 1533-position model. The record is from RNAcentral.
AGGACGAACGCUGGCGGCGUGCUUAACACAUGCAAGUCGAACGGUGAACCCCUUCGGGGGGAUCAGUGGCGAACGGGUGGAGUAACACGUGAGCAACCUGCCCUGACUCUGGGAGUAACCCCGGGAAACCGGAGCUAAUAACCGGAUAUGACACCUUCGGGCAUCCGAUGGGUGUGGAAAGAUUUAUCGGUUGGGGAUGGGCGUCGCGGCCUAUCAGCUUGUUGGUGGGGUAAUGGCCUACCAAGGCGACGACGGGUA